AUUGAACGCUGGCGGCAUGCCUUACACAUGCAAGUCGAACGGCAGCACGGGAGCAAUCCUGGUGGCGAGUGGCGAACGGGUGAGUAAUAUAUCGGAACGUGCCCAGUCGUGGGGAUAACGUAGCGAAAGCUACGCUAAUACCGCAUACGAUCUAUGGAUGAAAGCGGGGGAUCGCAAGACCUCGCGCGAUUGGAGCGGCCGAUAUCAGAUUAGGUAGUUGGUGAGGUAAAGGCUCACCAAGCCGACGAUCUGUAGCUGGUCUGAGAGGACGACCAGCCACACUGGGACUGAGACACGGCCCAGACUCCUACGGAGGCAGCAGUGGGAAUUUUGGACAAUGGGCGCAAGCCUGAUCCAGCAAUGCCGCGUGCAGGAUGAAGGCCUUCGGGUUGUAACUGCGUAUUGUACGGUAACGAAACGGU
Molecule: ribosomal RNA, 422 nt
Filed under: uncultured bacterium
Lineage: Bacteria
Description: bacterial SSU rRNA
Rfam family: Bacterial small subunit ribosomal RNA
Source: RNAcentral